Molecule: unclassified non-coding RNA, 329 nt
Filed under: Hevea brasiliensis (rubber tree)
Lineage: Eukaryota; Viridiplantae; Streptophyta; Magnoliopsida; Malpighiales; Euphorbiaceae
Source: RNAcentral
GUUCAAUUGUGUUUUCACUGCGAAUAGCUGAAUUGGCUGGUCGGAUCAGGCAUGUGCACUUUGUAUAUUGUAUUGAUGCUGACACUGUGAUGUCAAUAGCUAGUGAGAUGGCAGAGGAGCUUGAGUUGUUGAAUGACGAUGUGGCAACAAUAGCUGAAUUGAUUACCGACUUCAUUUUCAAACUCUCAACAAUCCAGAAAUAUUCUUUUGGGAGUUUGUCUGCAGUGAAUAACUUAUCCGAUGAUUCAACUUUGAUAAUCGAAGAUCCUAUUGUCUGUGAAGGCAUUACAUCUUUGAAUCAAGGGAUAGCAUCAACCUCAGAUGUGGAG